CAUCUCUACGGAAUAACUCCGGGAAACUGGAGCUAAUACCGUAUACGUCCUUAUGGAGAAAGAUUUAUCGGAGAUGGAUGAGCCCGCGUUGGAUUAGCUAGUUGGUGGGGUAAUGGCCUACCAAGGCGACGAUCCAUAGCUGGUCUGAGAGGAUGAUCAGCCACACUGGGACUGAGACACGGCCCAGACUCCUACGGGAGGCAGCAGUGGGGAAUAUUGGAAAAGGGGCGCAAGCCUGAUCCAGCCAUGCCGCGU
RNAcentral lists this ribosomal RNA (255 nucleotides) under uncultured bacterium. Its description in RNAcentral is "partial 16S ribosomal RNA". It matches the Rfam family "Bacterial small subunit ribosomal RNA", at positions 131 to 402 of the family's 1533-position model. The record is from RNAcentral.